Molecule: ribosomal RNA, 450 nt
Filed under: uncultured bacterium
Lineage: Bacteria
Description: bacterial SSU rRNA
Rfam family: Bacterial small subunit ribosomal RNA
Source: RNAcentral
UGGCCAGACUCCUACGGGAGGCAGCAGUGGGGAAUAUUGCACAAUGGGGGAAACCCUGAUGCAGCGACGCCGCGUGAGUGAAGAAGUAAUUCGUUAUGUAAAGCUCUAUCAGCAGGGAAGAAAAUGACGGUACCUGAGUAAGAAGCCCCGGCUAACUACGUGCCAGCAGCCGCGGUAAUACGUAGGGGGCAAGCGUUAUCCGGAUUUACUGGGUGUAAAGGGAGCGUAGACGGUUAUGUAAGUCUGGAGUGAAAGCCCGGGGCCCAACCCCGGGACUGCUUUGGAAACUGUGUAACUAGAGUACAGGAGGGGCAGGCGGAAUUCCUGGUGUAGCGGUGAAAUGCGUAGAUAUCAGGAGGAACACCAGUGGCGAAGGCGGAUGACUGGACGGCAACUGACGGUGAGGCGCGAAAGCGUGGGGAGCAAACAGGAUUAGAUACCCCAGUAAAG